Molecule: unclassified non-coding RNA, 281 nt
Filed under: Hevea brasiliensis (rubber tree)
Lineage: Eukaryota; Viridiplantae; Streptophyta; Magnoliopsida; Malpighiales; Euphorbiaceae
Source: RNAcentral
GACCCCAUGAACGUCACCCGUCGCCGCCUUUUUGGCCUGCUUGCCGGUGCCGCGGUCGCGGUGGGCCUCCCGUCCGUCUGGAUUUCCCGCAUGAAAACCUAUCCCGGCCCGCCCUCCGAUCAUUUCGACGGAACCUAUUUCUUCGACCCCGACGGCUCGCCGCCGAAGAAGCUCUGGGAGGUGCUGCGCUGGCAGAUCACCAAGCAGGCGGCAAAAUGGCCCGAGCGCGCCCCGUCGCCCUAUGCCGAUACGCCGCCGCAGCAGGUCAACGGCAGCAAGGU